GGGUCAGUAGGUUGGUCGUGCCACCGGUACGUACUGGUCUCACUGAUUCCUCCUUCCUGAAGAACCGUAAUGCCAUUAAUUUGGUGUUGCGGGGAAACAGGACUGUUACUUUGAAAAAAUUAGGGUGUUUAAAGCAGGCUAACGCUUGAAUACAUUAGCAUGGAAUAAUGAAAUAGGACGAUCGAUCCUAUUUUGUUGGUUUCUAGGAUUGACGUA
RNAcentral lists this ribosomal RNA (216 nucleotides) under Glomeromycotina sp. Its description in RNAcentral is "partial small subunit ribosomal RNA". The stretch from base 40 to 216 matches the Rfam family "Eukaryotic small subunit ribosomal RNA", at positions 686 to 864 of the family's 1831-position model. Lineage: Eukaryota; Fungi; Glomeromycota. The record is from RNAcentral.